AGGAGGCUUACAGUCUAUGAUUCACCCUCUGCAGUGUGCAGAAAAUUUAGAUAGAAUUUUGCCAAUGAUUUCAGAAUCAUUUGUGUAACCAUUGGCUCAAAUAAAAUGUUUCUCCCCCUUCCUCAAUUGCAUAAUAAGCAAAAGAUCAAGAAGUGAAGAAAUGCAGAUAAUAUUAUUGCUGAGAGUAACGAGUCCCUGAAACAGCUUCUGAGAGACAUGAUGUUUUCUUCAUCUCAAAAGGCAAUUAAUUAGACAGUGAUAUCUGCCUGUAGUACGGUCUUAGUCUUAAAUGCAGCACCAGUUCUGUUGAGGUCUGUGCAGCAGUUGCUGGAUAGAUUGUAAUGACCUUGGCUGGACUGGAAUUUGAGUGUAUAAUCUAAACAGCUUUUCCUAUUUUUAACAUUUCUGAAGCAAUAUGUACCCACAGGAGGUUUACAUAUUAACAACAUUACACAGGAGAUGUUUCUCAACUAGUGACAUGUAACCCUUAAAUGGAGGAAUAAAAGGUGAUUGACAGUGGAACAGGGAGGAACUAUAAAUUGUUUCAUUCUAAAGCAGAAAAAUCUCAUCCUCCUCCAUCCUCCCACCGCCUCUCUCAAGGUCUCCUAGCAGAAGACACAUCUGGAACAUGCAGCAUGGUUUGGAAAGACUGGAUAAACCUCGAGACAUUGAUUGCCAAGGCUGGCCACUGUGGGGACGCCUGCAGAUGUCUGCUUUCAAUGUGAUUUUGACCUGGACCCUGGCUUGAGGAUAAUGGCAUCUCUUGUUCUUACAUGUCUACAUUUUGGAGUGAUCUGCCAUGACCAAGCCUUUUUAUGCAGGUGUAGCAGAUCAGAAACAUGUUUUGAUCAUUCACUUCCUACAGUAGUAUCAUCUGGCACUGCAAGGGUGUCUUAUACAUAUGGUUGUGAGCCCAUAAUUCUCCCAGAAGAAAUGGCUUAUUUGUGUGUGUUCCUCUCAGGAAAUCCUUCAGGAUUCCUACCCUGGAAGGAGCCAUAUAAUCAAUGGAGUGACAUGUCUGGAGCUGUUAGACAAAAUCAUGCUGGCUGUACACAGUGAAAUCUUGGACACUUUUCACAUACUGAACUUCAGAGGCUCAAACUGGGAUCUUGGAGGAUGACAGCAUAAGAUCUUGUGUAUAACUUGAGGCUUGGAGGCCAAUAGCAGGAUCUGGUGGGUGCCUCCCAAUCUCCUAUACAAAAAAAAAACCCAAAAACAAACAAACAAAAAACUAAACAUGCCAAACUUCAGAGUACAGAUAGUGAUAAAACAAGGUUCAAAGCAGGCAUAAGAUUUGGUGGAGCAGACUUCCACUCUUGCUGUCCUGCCUGUGUAGAAUGCAGUCUCAUCUGUUAUGGUCCUGCAGACAGAUUGUAGGAAAUACUUCCUUCCUCUCCUCUCAUCCACACCUCUUCUCCUCAUUGCCACAAAACCAUCACCCUAUUGCCCACAGACUUCUUUUGGCCUUGAGAAGCAUUUCAUGGACUUCCAAUGAUGAAAAACAAAUCUGUUGAUGACAGACUAGGAUUUGUUAAUAGGGCUAUGGUCUGCUGAGUGUGCAAGCCUACUUGUACACGAUGUGUUGCUUUCUUUCUGAAAAAUAGCAAAGGUAACUUAUCUGUAAUUGUAAUCACUGCAUUUCUUUUGAUAUCUGAAGAGUUGCUACAAUACAACUCUUUUCUUGCCUGUGCUUUGGAUCUUAAUCCAGUACAGGUCAGUCUAGUCCUGUGUUAUAGAUGUUCCUGAUUAGUUCUUAACUUUCAUUACUGAUCCUAUUGACAUGAGCCAUAUCUGUAAAUUAAUUUGCAUUGAAUAAAUGAAAGCAAGGAAAAGUUGGGGAAAUUAAAUCCCACCAAAAAUCAAACAGCUUGUGAAGUGUGGUGUCUAGAACAUCUUGUGUUGGCCUUGUGCAUAAAAACUUGGGAAUGCAACAGCUAUUACAUGUCAUUCAGCAAUUUCCUGUAUGAGUCAGUAAAAAAGUAUUUCUGCUCAAGAAACUGGCAGAAACCUGAGGUUUUUAAGUCAUUUGAAAGUGGAGAGGACGAUGCACUUUAAAGCUUACUUACAGAAUGUAUGAUUUCAAGUGUGCCCACAGCCCUGAACUAGCCUUUAAUGUCUGGGAAGCAUUUAGAGGUUCUUCAAUCCAGACUGCAAAGGUCGCUGAAGAGUUCUCAAGUCUUUGGCUGAAUUUUAGACUCAGCUCAGAAGGUCUGUUCUAACUCUACUUUCUGCAUUAGAAAAACUCAUUUCUCAUACAUAAAGCCAACUCUACAUUCGGUUGAAUUUUACUUUCACUUUGCAGAAAUGAGGGUAUGCCGUUUCAAGCAUCUUCAGGGGAAUUUGGGCUAAUCUGCCUAAGGCACACCAUUAAAAUUAAAUCUAAGCAGUUGUCUUCAGGACGUCCAUAUUUACUGAAGUAUAAAAAGUGGUUAUUCUGUCAAUGUCUCUUUUGUGGUAGAGAUAAUUCACGUAUACCUAAAUGCCAGGUCAUACUCGUUCUCUCAAGUGCAUGGUGAUGACCUUGUACAAGUGAGAUCAUUUUUUUCCUCCUCUUGCUCUUGGCUGUGGCUCCAAGUAUUGCCUUAGUCUGUGCAGCAGCAUCUCCUUACUGCGACCAAGGAACCCUUGAAAAUUUGUGUUCCCUUUGAAUUCACAAAAUCCUUCCUAACCUUGGAAUUCAGACUACAUGUCCACUCUGUUUCUCUCCUUAUUGUUGCUGUAGUUCAGCUAAGGAAGGCAUCAGCAGCAAUCUGAAGGAAAAAUACUUGGAAACGUUCUCGGAAUUUGUUCUAUAGUUAGUGUGGAGGCUAUGGGAGAAUGAAGCACACAGUACAGUGGAAGAUGUGAUUCCAUUUGAUCGGAAUAAACUUUAAUGAAAUCUGAGCUGCUUAUAGGAAAAAAAAGGCCACAACUCAAAUUGGAGGGCACUGGAUUUCCUUUUCCUUGUGUUAUAUUACCCUCUAGUGGUUGAGUCUUUGUGCUUCAUCUGAAGUAAGGACAAGAAGUUAAUGGGGAUUUUUGUGCAAUGUUCUUUGAUCAUCCCUGGCCUCUAAAAUCGUAACGUGUUUUAACUUAAUAAAAAAAA
Tympanuchus pallidicinctus (lesser prairie-chicken) is the source of this 3085-nucleotide long non-coding RNA. RefSeq lists it as uncharacterized. The record is from RefSeq and is a predicted model, not a curated record. The transcript is spliced from 4 exons. NCBI's taxonomy places the organism in Eukaryota, Metazoa, Chordata, Aves, Galliformes, Phasianidae.